AGGUAAGCUACUAAGAGCGAAUGGUGGAUGCCUUGACUGGUAGAGGCGAUGAAGGACGUACUAGACUGCGAUAAGCUAGGUGGAGCUGUCAAGAAGCUUUGAUGCCUAGAUUUCCGAAUGGGGCAACCCAGUAUAUAGAGAUAUAUACUACCAUAAUGGAGCGAACGAGGGGAAUUGAAACAUCUUAGUACCCUCAGGAAAAGAAAUCAAACGAGAUUGCGUCAGUAGCGGCGAGCGAAAGCGUAAGAGGGCAAACCCAGUGCUUGCACUGGGGGUUGUAGGACUGCAAUGUGCAAGAGGAAAGGUUAGCAGAACACUCUGGAAAGUGUAGCCAUAGAGGGUGAUAGUCCCGUAUGCAAAAACCUAACCUUAGCUAGCAGUAUCCUGAGUAGGGCGGGACACGAGAAAUCCUGUCUGAAGCUGGGUAGACCACUAUCCAACCCUAAAUACUACUACCAGAUCGAUAGCGAACAAGUACCGUGAGGGAAAGGUGAAAAGAACGGCGGUGAGCCGAGUGAAAUAGAACCUGAAACCAUUUGCUUACAAUCAUUCAGAGCACUAUGUAGUAAUACAGUGUGAUGGACUGCCUUUUGCAUAAUGAGCCUGCGAGUUGUGGUGUCUGGCAAGGUUAAGCUAACGCGAAGCCGUAGCGAAAGCGAGUCUGAAUAGGGCGCUAAGUCAGAUGCUGCAGACCCGAAACGAAGUGAUCUAUCCAUGAGCAGGUUGAAGCUAGUGUAAGAACUAGUGGAGGACCGAACCCGCUAGCGUUGAAAAGCUAUGGGAUGACUUGUGGAUAGGGGUGAAAGGCCAAUCAAACUUCGUGAUAGCUGGUUCUCUCCGAAAUAUAUUUAGGUAUAGCGUUGUGUCGUAACUAAAGGGGGUAGAGCACUGAAUGGGCUAGGGCAUACACCAAUGUACCAAACCCUAUCAAACUCCGAAUACCUUUAGUGUAAUCACAGCAGUCAGGCGGCGAGUGAUAAAAUCCGUCGUCAAGAGGGAAACAACCCAGACUAACAGCUAAGGUCCCCAAAUCUUACUUAAGUGGAAAACGAUGUGAAGUUACUUAAACAACCAGGAGGUUGGCUUAGAAGCAGCCAUCCUUUAAAGAAAGCGUAAUAGCUCACUGGUCUAGUGAUUUUGCGCGGAAAAUAUAACGGGGCUAAAGUAAGUACCGAAGCUUUAGACUUGCACACAACUUAGAUGAUUUAAAUUUGGAAUAUGAGAAGCUAAAUUUGUUUUUAUUUAUUUUUGCUUAUCUUUAUUCAUUUUUAUAGAGUAAAGAUAAAAACAAAAACUUCGUAAAAAUAAUAAAAUUUAGUAAAAAACAAUAAAAAUAUUCUUAGAUUAAAAGUUAAGUCGUUUAAGUUGUGUGCAAGUGGUAGGAGAGCGUUCUAUUUGCGUCGAAGGUAUACCGACAAGGAGUGCUGGAGCGAAUAGAAGUGAGCAUGCAGGCAUGAGUAGCGAUAAUUAAUGUGAGAAUCAUUAACGCCGUAAACCCAAGGUUUCCUACGCGAUGCUCGUCAUCGUAGGGUUAGUCGGGUCCUAAGCUGAGUCCGAAAGGGGUAAGCGAUGGCAAAUAGGUUAAUAUUCCUAUACCAACAUUAGUGUGCGAUGGAAGGACGCUUAGGGCUAAGGGGGCUAGCGGAUGGAAGUGCUAGUCUAAGGUCGUAGGAGGUUAUACAGGCAAAUCCGUAUAACAAUACUCCGAGAACUGAAAGGCUUUUUGAAGUCUUCGGAUGGAAAGAAGAACCCCUGAUGCCGUCGAGCCAAGAAAAGUUUCUAAGUUUAGCUAAUGUUGCCCGUACCGUAAACCGACACAGGUGGGUGGGAUGAGUAUUCUAAGGCGCGUGGAAGAACUCUCUUUAAGGAACUCUGCAAAAUAGCACCGUAUCUUCGGUAUAAGGUGUGCCUCCCUUUGUAUUAGAAUUCACUUCGAAAGCAAAGAAGGUUACAACAAAGAGUCCCUCCCGACUGUUUACCAAAAACACAGCACUCUGCUAACUCGUAAGAGGAUGUAUAGGGUGUGACGCCUGCCCGGUGCUCGAAGGUUAAUUGAUGGGGUUAGCAUUAGCGAAGCUCUUGAUCGAAGCCCGAGUAAACGGCGGCCGUAACUAUAACGGUCCUAAGGUAGCGAAAUUCCUUGUCGGUUAAAUACCGACCUGCAUGAAUGGCGUAACGAGAUGGGAGCUGUCUCAAAGAGGGAUCCAGUGAAAUUGUAGUGGAGGUGAAAAUUCCUCCUACCCGCGGCAAGACGGAAAGACCCCGUGG
This 2268-nucleotide ribosomal RNA is filed under the name Campylobacter upsaliensis. RNAcentral describes it as "partial 23S ribosomal RNA". It matches the Rfam family "Bacterial large subunit ribosomal RNA", at positions 1 to 2096 of the family's 2925-position model. Lineage: Bacteria; Pseudomonadati; Campylobacterota; Epsilonproteobacteria; Campylobacterales; Campylobacteraceae. The record is from RNAcentral.